This is a non-coding RNA of Aromia moschata, 91 nucleotides long. NCBI's taxonomy places the organism in Eukaryota, Metazoa, Arthropoda, Insecta, Coleoptera, Cerambycidae. The record is from the annotation of a GenBank genome assembly.
GCCGCGGCGAUAGCUCAGUGAUAAAAGCGCCAUGUGAGAAGGUGGCGAUAACUCCGAAUUAUCCGCGCGGGUUCGAAUCCCACCUGUGGUA